This 492-nucleotide ribosomal RNA is filed under the name uncultured bacterium. RNAcentral describes it as "partial 16S ribosomal RNA". It matches the Rfam family "Bacterial small subunit ribosomal RNA", at positions 29 to 507 of the family's 1533-position model. The record is from RNAcentral.
AGUGAACGCUGGCGGUAGGCCUAACACAUGCAAGUCGAACGGCAGCACAGUAAGAGCUUGCUCUUACGGGUGGCGAGUGGCGGAUGGGUGAGGCAUACAUCGGAAUCUAAUUUUUCGUGGGGGAUAACGUAGGGAAACUUAUGAUAAUACCUCAUACGACCUACGGGUGAAAGCAGGGGAUCUUCGGACCUUUCGCGAUUGAAUGAGCCGAUGUCGGAUUAGCUAGUUGGGUGGGUAAAGGCCCACCAAGGCGACGAUGCGUAGCUGGUCUGAGAGGAUGAUCGGCCACACUGGAACUGAGACACGGUCCAGACUCCUACGGGAGGCAGCAGUAGGGAAUCUUGGACAAUGGGCGCAAGCCUGAUCCAGCAAUACCGCGUGAGUGAAGAAGGCCUUCGGGUUGUAAAGCCCUUUUGUUGGGAAAGAAAAGCAGCAGAUUAAUACCCCGCUGUUCUGACGGUACCCAAAGAAUAAGCACCGGCUAACUUCGUG